This 290-nucleotide long non-coding RNA is filed under the name Ananas comosus (pineapple). RNAcentral's name for it is "long non-coding RNA (ACOM_LNC022249)". The record is from RNAcentral. Lineage: Eukaryota; Viridiplantae; Streptophyta; Magnoliopsida; Poales; Bromeliaceae.
UUAUUCUCCCUUGUUAAUUUAUUAUUUUUCUAUUAUUGAUAUAACUAGCGAAGGUACUCGCGCGUUGCGGCGGAUUUAUUGCAUAGAAAUAAAUAAAUAAAUAAAUAAAUAAACUAAAAGAAAAUUUAAAAAAUAGAAAUAAAAGAGGCUAAAGAAAAAGUAGCACAUACUAUAGUAAAAACAUAAAAAUGAAAGUAUAAAAAAAAGGACAAAAUUAUAAAAAUAAUAAAUUAUAUCUAUAAUGGUAGAAAAAGUAUAAGAAAAUUUUUUUUAAAAAAAAAGAAGUUAAA